RNAcentral lists this transfer RNA (74 nucleotides) under Acidimicrobiaceae bacterium. Its description in RNAcentral is "tRNA-Val". It matches the Rfam family "tRNA". From Rfam's summary of the family: Transfer RNA (tRNA) molecules are approximately 80 nucleotides in length. Lineage: Bacteria; Bacillati; Actinomycetota; Acidimicrobiia; Acidimicrobiales; Acidimicrobiaceae. The record is from RNAcentral. RNAcentral also lists the same sequence under 1 other name.
GGGCGCAUAGCUCAGUUGGUUAGAGCACUGCCCUUACAAGGCAGGUGUCGGGGGUUCGAGUCCCUCUGCGCCCA